AGAGCCUCAAAGAGCACCCAGCAUAACUGUGGGAGAAUAGUAAGCAUUGGACACAAAAUGGUUUAGGCAAAUAAUGAUGAACAAAAAUGGUCAGUCUGUGUUCCUGCUGACCCAGCACAGUGGGGACGCUGUGUAGGACAUGACCUUUGGGGGAAAGGACACAAGAACUCAGCGUGGGGGAUCCAGAAAAGAAGUCGCACGUAUUGAAGCCAGUAACGCCAAGCCAGUGAAUUCUCCUUGACGAGAAAGACCCACUUACUCUGCAGAAGAGAUAUAUGACAGCUGACAAUCCCUGGAGGAGAAUCUUUCUACUAAAUUGGCAUCUAUUCAACGAAGACGAAUCCUGGAAUGGGGAUGGAAAUGAUGGCUCAUGUCUUAGCAAACUACCAGUACGUCUACUAGAACCGGAACUGAUCCGAGAGGACAGGGAAGUCAGUGUGGGCGGCUCUAAGGAGCCUCCCUCUCUACAGCUGCGGCUCAGAGGAUUACGGCGCUUCAUCCACAAGGCAACAUUGCACAAGUAGCUUUUGAACAAAAGUCAUGGAUACUAUUAAUGAUAUGGUAAUCCUUAAUCGAGCUACCUCCCAGUAGUGAUUAUACUGACAUGGGAAGAAUAUCUAAGUCGUGGAGGCAGCCCACAACAACACUGUGUCAUUGUUCACCCCGGGCUCGACCAGGACUAACUUUUACCAGCAUCUCUAACGUCACCUUUCCCCUGAUGCCUCCCCACAACCCCUGGCCCCAGCUCCCAUUCCCGCCCCAUCAUAGCAAAAAAGUAGCAAAGAAAACCCUGAUCCUAAAUCUUUUUCUGGAUUUUUUUUUGCAAGUUCCCACACACAUUUAGUGUCGUCUCAAAAUUCACGCUGUCAACUGUCUCUAGGAAUCAUUUCCAUCUGAGAACAGACCACACAAAGGUUAGUUCGGUGGGUCUCAGUGAAGAUGUUUUAAUUGUCUGACAAUAGAUUCUUCCAUCAUUUGACUUGCAAAUACUGUCCUCUUGCUCUCAGAUAACAUGUUCAGAAUUAGACCAUUUGUCAAUAAAUUUCCCAAAACUCCUUAA
RNAcentral lists this long non-coding RNA (1060 nucleotides) under Homo sapiens (human). RNAcentral describes it as "long intergenic non-protein coding RNA 2436". Lineage: Eukaryota; Metazoa; Chordata; Mammalia; Primates; Hominidae. The record is from RNAcentral.